GCUAAGGUGGCAUAGUGGUUAGCGCAUCUGCCUAGUGAGCAGAAGACCUGAGUUCGAAUCUCGGCUUUGGUA
Non-coding RNA from Schistocerca gregaria, 72 nucleotides. The record is from the annotation of a RefSeq genome assembly. Lineage: Eukaryota; Metazoa; Arthropoda; Insecta; Orthoptera; Acrididae.